GGGGAUGACGUCAAGUCCUCAUGGCCUUUAUGUCCAGGGCUACACACGUGCUACAAUGGCCGGUACAAACCGCUGCAAACCGACGAGGGUGAGCCAAUCGGAGAAAGCCGGCCUCAGUUCGGAUUGCAGUCUGCAACUCGACUGCAUGAAGCUGGAAUCGCUAGUAAUCGCGGAUCAGCAUGCCGCGGUGAAUACGUUCCCGGGCCUUGUACACACCGCCCGUCACAUCACGAAAGUGGGUUGUACUAGAAGCAGGUGAGCUAACCGCAAGGAAGCAGCCUUCCAAGGUGUGAUUCAUGAUUGGGGUGAAGUCGUAACAAGGUAGCCGUAA
This 331-nucleotide ribosomal RNA is filed under the name uncultured bacterium. RNAcentral describes it as "bacterial SSU rRNA". It matches the Rfam family "Bacterial small subunit ribosomal RNA", at positions 1175 to 1505 of the family's 1533-position model. The record is from RNAcentral.